RNAcentral lists this ribosomal RNA (508 nucleotides) under uncultured bacterium. RNAcentral's name for it is "bacterial SSU rRNA". It matches the Rfam family "Bacterial small subunit ribosomal RNA", at positions 29 to 517 of the family's 1533-position model. The record is from RNAcentral.
AACGAACGCUGGCGGCGGGGUUUAGGCAUGCAAGUCGCGCGAGAAAGCCUUCGGAUGAGUAAAGCGGCGUAAGGGUGAGUAAUGGUUAGUCAACGUACCAUUCAGACGCGGAUAAUUCGCCGAAAGGUGUUGUAAUACGCGAUGAGACCACGGGCAGUACGCUGCUAGGGGUCAAAAGUCGGGGAUCCUUCGGGACCCGGCGCUGUUUGAGCGGACUAACUCUGAUUAGCUAGUUGGCGGUGUAACGGACCACCAAGGCGAUGAUCAGUAGCCGGGCUGAGAGGCUGUCCGGCCACACGGGCACUGAGACACUGGCCCGACUCCUACGGGAGGCUGCAGUCGCGAAUUUUUCACAAUGGACGCAAGUCUGAUGAAGCCACGCCGCGUGCAGGAUGAAGGCCCUCUGGGUUGUAAACUGCUGUCAGGGAGGGGAAACGCUGGGUGUUAACAGCAUCCAGUUUGACUGCUCUCCAAAGGAAGCCCCGGCAAAAACAUGUGCCAGCAGCCG